This 460-nucleotide ribosomal RNA is filed under the name uncultured bacterium. Its description in RNAcentral is "partial 16S ribosomal RNA". It matches the Rfam family "Bacterial small subunit ribosomal RNA", at positions 338 to 795 of the family's 1533-position model. The record is from RNAcentral.
CCUACGGGAGGCAGCAGUGAGGAAUAUUGGUCAAUGGGCGGGAACCUGAACCAGCCAAGUCGCGUGAGGGAAGACGGUCCUAUGGAUUGUAAACCUCUUUAGGCGGGGAGCAAUGCCGGGCACGUGUGCCCGGAGGGAGAGUACCCGCAGAAUAAGCAUCGGCUAACUCCGUGCCAGCAGCCGCGGUAAUACGGAGGAUGCGAGCGUUAUCCGGAUUGAUUGGGUUUAAAGGGUGCGUAGGCGGAUUUUUAAGUCAGCGGUAAAAUGUCCGGGCUCAACCCGGGCCGGCCGUUGAAACUGGGGAUCUUGAGUGGGCGAGAAGUAUGCGGAAUGCGUGGUGUAGCGGUGAAAUGCAUAGAUAUCACGCUGAACUCCGAUUGCGAAGGCAGCAUACCGGCGCCCGACUGACGCUGAGGCACGAAAGCGUGGGGAUCGAACAGGAUUAGAUACCCUUGUAGUC